AAAAUAGAGCGGUUCUCACCAAUCAGAAUGUGGGAGCAAAACCGUUCUAUUAUUUCUCUCCAUUCAGAAAAAUAGUGCAGCAGUUUCGCAACAAUCAUCAAAGUCUUUAGUUUUUAUACUCCAUAUUUUCUCCUUUCGAUUCACAACCGUUCAAAAACUCUUAAAAUCCUCUUUGAAUAAGUUCUUCAAGCAAUCAAGAUUCAAGGGUGCGGUUAGGUGUCGGGAUUUCUGUGCGGCGCAAUUAGAAUCUCUAUCCCCGAGUUAAGCAUUAGUCAAGUUUACUACCAAGGAUUUGAGGCGAGGAGCAAGGAGAUGCGUGAUGGAUGUGUGUGGUGCUUUGGAUAUUUUAAUCAUGCUUUCUAUAGUAUUAUUAAAGACUCUUUGUUGGUUAAAAAAAAUUUAGGAUUUGAAGUUUAGUUUAUUUUUAUGGUAAGGUUUAAGAGUUUCUAGUGAAUCAUAUUUGACUUUCUUAUAUUAAGUUAGGUACUUUGAUAAAUUAGUAUUACGUUUUCUGUCUA
Salvia miltiorrhiza (redroot sage) is the source of this 518-nucleotide long non-coding RNA. RefSeq lists it as uncharacterized. NCBI's taxonomy places the organism in Eukaryota, Viridiplantae, Streptophyta, Magnoliopsida, Lamiales, Lamiaceae. The record is from RefSeq and is a predicted model, not a curated record. The transcript has 3 exons.